AGUCUUCCUUAACCACAAAACCAAGUGAAAGCUCUCAACCCAAAGUGGGCAAAAGCAAUCGAAAGUUUGGAUGAUGGAGUCCCAGAAUCGAAUAAGAGCUUUGGCAUGAAGCAAAGGCCAGAUGGUGAUAUUGAAAUCGAUGAAAAAUAUUGGAAGCAUGAUUUCUGUAUUCCAACCUGCCAAAAGUGCAACAGAGUGCUCAAACCUGAUGAAAGGGGAAGGCCUUUAAUAACACUAGAGUGAAGCGGUCGAUUAAGGUGCCCACGAUUAGUAACAAGCUAGUAGAUAUGAUGAUUAUUCAUGGAGGAAAUAUGGCCAAAAGCCAAUCAAGGCUUCUCCACACCC
Cucumis melo (muskmelon) is the source of this 345-nucleotide long non-coding RNA. RefSeq lists it as uncharacterized. NCBI's taxonomy places the organism in Eukaryota, Viridiplantae, Streptophyta, Magnoliopsida, Cucurbitales, Cucurbitaceae. The transcript is spliced from 3 exons. The record is from RefSeq and is a predicted model, not a curated record.